AUGCUGGUCCAGCUCUUUGAUAGAGCUUUCCCCUUCGGGGGACAAAGUGACAGGUGGUGCAUGGUUGUCGUCAGCUCGUGUCGUGAGAUGUUGGGUUAAGUCCCGCAACGAGCGCAACCCUUAUCUUUAGUUGCCAUCAUUAAGUUGGGCACUCUAGAGAGACUGCCGGUGACAAACCGGAGGAAGGUGGGGAUGACGUCAAAUCAUCAUGCCCCUUAUGAUUUGGGCUACACACGUGCUACAAUGGAUGGUACAAAGGGCAGCAAAACCGCGAGGUCAAGCAAAUCCCAUAAAACCAUUCUCAGUUCGGAUUGUAGUCUGCAACUCGACUACAUGAAGCUGGAAUCGCUAGUAAUCGUAGAUCAGCAUGCUACGGUGAAUACGUUCCCGGGUUUG
Molecule: ribosomal RNA, 396 nt
Filed under: uncultured Macrococcus sp.
Lineage: Bacteria; Bacillati; Bacillota; Bacilli; Caryophanales; Staphylococcaceae
Description: bacterial SSU rRNA
Rfam family: Bacterial small subunit ribosomal RNA
Source: RNAcentral